RNAcentral lists this ribosomal RNA (422 nucleotides) under uncultured bacterium. RNAcentral describes it as "bacterial SSU rRNA". It matches the Rfam family "Bacterial small subunit ribosomal RNA", at positions 355 to 774 of the family's 1533-position model. The record is from RNAcentral.
UGAGGAAUAUUGGGCAAUGCCCGCAAGGGUGACCCAGCAACGCCGCGUGGAGGAUGAAUGUCGUAAGAUUGUAAACUCCUGUUAGAGGGGAAGAAUAGUACCGGUUGGACCGGUAUAUGACUGUACCCUCAGAGGAAGCCCCGGCUAACUACGUGCCAGCAGCCGCGGUAAUACGUAGGGGGCAAGCGUUGUCCGGAUUUACUGGGUGUAAAGGGCGCGCAGGCGGGAUAAAAAGUCAGUGGUGAAAUCCUACAGCUUAACUGUAGAACUGCCUUUGAUACUUUUAUUCUUGAGUUCGGGAGAGAGAGACGGAAUUCCAGGUGUAGUGGUGAAAUACGUAGAUAUCUGGAAGAACACCAGUUGCGAAGGCGGUCUCUAGGUCCGACACUGACGCUGAGGCGCGAAAGCGUGGGGAGCAAACA